UUGAUUUCUUAGGAAGCUUCCAAAUCCGGCGGAUCAUUUUUCUUUAUCGAUAUCUUUAACUCCACAAACGUUCUCUGCCGGAGAAACGACUCCUCUUCCUGUAACGCCUUCUCCACCCUCCCAUAUAUAGAGGUCGUCUAUGGUGCUCCAGCCGCAAGUGCCGCCCUCGCCUACUCCACUUUCGACUCAUCCGCUUUUGGAGAGUAUAUGGGGACAAAGGAGUCCUGCUUCCUAACGUCACGAGCAAGAUCUUUGGUAAGGUGUUCAGUACUGCAAAAAGCACGUCGAGGCUGCUGCUUCCAAGAGCGAGGCCAUCGGGCUAUCCUCUUCAAACUCAUCCUAGCUGCUAAUUAUUUGAACAUCAAAAAUCUGUUUGACCUUACAUGCCAGACAGUGGCUGAUAUGAUAAAAGGAGAAGAGAUUCGUACCGGACCUUCAACAUCAAUAACGACUUUACACCUGAGGAGGAAGAGGAGGUGUGUAGGGAGAACCAAUAGGCUUUUGAAUGAUGUGUGAGAGAUGUCGUUGAAGCAAAUUAACCAGUUUAUUGCUUUAUGUUGUUUCCUUUUUCUGUGUGUCUGAUCAGUGUGGAUGAUGUCUUGGAGUCUCUUUUUUUUUUCUAUAUUCAUGACUAUGUUCGACCUCCACGUGCUUUUAUUUUACCAUUAUGAACCAAUGGUGGG
Molecule: long non-coding RNA, 683 nt
Organism: Raphanus sativus (radish)
Lineage: Eukaryota; Viridiplantae; Streptophyta; Magnoliopsida; Brassicales; Brassicaceae
Exons: 2
Source: RefSeq, a predicted model, not a curated record